AGAGUUUGAUCCUGGCUCAGGACGAACGCUGGCGGCGUGCUUAACACAUGCAAGUCGAGCGGUAAGGCCCUUCGGGGUACACGAGCGGCGAACGGGUGAGUAACACGUGGGUGACCUGCCCUCCACUCUGGGAUAAGCCUGGGAAACCGGGUCUAAUACCGGAUAGGACUCCUGGAUGCAUGUCUAGGGGUGGAAAGUUUUUUCGGUGGGGGGAUGGGCCCGCGGUCUAUCAGCUUGUUGGUGGGGUGAUGGCCUACCAAGGCGACGACGGAUAGCCGGCCUGAGAGGGUGAUCGGCCACACUGGGACUGAGACACGGCCCAGACUCCUACGGGAGGCAGCAGUGGGGAAUCUUGCGCAAUGGGCGGAAGCCUGACGCAGCAACGCCGCGUGGGGGAUGACGGCCUUCGGGUUGUAAACCUCUUUCGCGAUCGACGAAGGUCCACUUUGAAGUGGGCUGACGGUAGGUCGAGAAGAAGCACCGGCCAACUACGUGCCAGCAGCCGCGGUAAUACGUAGGGUGCGAGCGUUGUCCGGAAUUAUUGGGCGUAAAGAGCUCGUAGGCGGUGUGUCGCGUCGGCCGUGAAAACCUGGGGCUCAACUCUGGGCGUGCGGUCGAUACGGGCAUCACUUGAGUUCGGCAGGGGAGACUGGAAUUCCUGGUGUAGCGGAAAUGCGCAGAUAUCAGGAGGAACACCGGUGGCGAAGGCGGGUCUCUGGGCCGAUACUGACGCUGAGGAGCGAAAGCAUGGGUAGCGAACAGGAUUAGAUACCCCAGUAGUCC
This 783-nucleotide ribosomal RNA is filed under the name uncultured bacterium. RNAcentral describes it as "bacterial SSU rRNA". It matches the Rfam family "Bacterial small subunit ribosomal RNA", at positions 8 to 796 of the family's 1533-position model. The record is from RNAcentral.